This 119-nucleotide ribosomal RNA is filed under the name Musa acuminata subsp. malaccensis (wild Malaysian banana). The record is from RNAcentral. Lineage: Eukaryota; Viridiplantae; Streptophyta; Magnoliopsida; Zingiberales; Musaceae.
GGGUGCGAUCAAACCAGCACUACAGCAUCGGAUCCCAUUAGAACUCUGAAGUGAAGCAUGCAUGGGUGAGAGUAGUACUAGGAUGGGUGACCCUUUGGGAAGUCCUCGUGUUACACUCC